Long non-coding RNA from Carassius gibelio (silver crucian carp), 2185 nucleotides. RefSeq lists it as uncharacterized. Lineage: Eukaryota; Metazoa; Chordata; Actinopteri; Cypriniformes; Cyprinidae. The record is from RefSeq and is a predicted model, not a curated record. The transcript is spliced from 3 exons.
CGACAACAUGGCAGCGCGGCAACAACAAUACUACAAUGAGAAUAAAAGACAGCUGUGAGUGGGGGAGGGGUGCUGACACUCCUGUGCUCGCUCACAGCAGAGUGGGAGGUGUGAACAGGAAGUACCGCCCAACCUGCUCUCCGCCCAGUAGUCCCACCCCCUCACAUCCCAAACUGGAUACCAUGGAGGAGAGACAGUUUCAGCUGCAAGAGCUUUCAGGGGCUGCACGGCAGAUGGGUGCCUUGCUUUUACAUCUCACUUGAGGGUUGGAAAAAACAGCACAAUCUGCGACCCACAAUGCAGCAUCAGCGGAGCCGCGCAAACGAAACAGGGAAUCCAUGCAAGGACACAGCCCAGAUUCUUAACAAUCCCUUUGAAUCUCCACUUCCCCCUGCCCGGCCCUUCAAAGUGUGCCCAAUGUUUUAUUUAUCCGACGGAGGAAGGAAAUAAAGAGCCCGGCACAACAGAGUACCCCUUCUGUUUCCUGAAAAAGUCGGCCGUUAUCGAGAACGAGGGGAGGGACGGUGGGGAUUCGCACAUGUCUUUGAGAAAAAACUACAAAUCCCAACAGGCUCGGUGGUGGAAACGGACCAGCUGUCCACGGUUUUGCAGAUCAGAUCCCGUUGUCUUGAUUAUGAAAUCACAAAAUAAUGAGGAGUAAAGUGCAGGCGUGAGUGUUUUCUCCUUUGUUCUUGCUUUUGACAGAAGUUAUUUUUCUCCCGUUGCCUCCAAGCUGUGGUCUGCGGCUGCCAAUGUUUGGUGCAGGACUGCAUUUGUUCCCACAGACAGAAGAGAAGACUCGUGGCCUUGCCCUGUUUAAAGCUGUCAUCCAACUCCCGCCUUGUGUUUUAUUCAAUUUUGACUGCGGCCCAUACGCCUCCCAUACCAACUGUCAUCAUCAAAAUUGCAAAAGUCCAAAGCAAUUAGACUUUUUGGAGACUCUCGGUUAACUUCUGUUGUGUUCUCGCAUUAUAUUAGAUAGAAAGAUGCACUACUUUAUGAAAAAACAAAAACAAAAACUGAAUCUUCUUGCAAUGCCAGUUUUUGAGUAUUGUUCUUGCAAAGUUUCAUAGAUGACACAAUCGCAAUCUGUCUAGCCUGGAUCUGGACUGCAUUUGCCAAAAGCAUUGUAUGCCUAAGUGGAUGGUAGAACAGUUGGCACUGGUGGUCUCUACCAACAAUUUAUGUUUAAGUUGCUUCUGGGAUACGUAGCCCGAACUGGUACAAUUUCAUUUGGACUAAAGUAAAAUAGCAUAAAUUAUUGCUUCAGUCCGACUUAAGUCGAUUCAAAUGCACUCAUCUACGGUUGAGCACAAGCACCAACCAAGACUUCCUAAAAGCUUUCUGUGUUUACUUCCAUAAUGACUGGCUAAUUUUCUAGUUUCUAGACAAAUAUGAACUUUUUACGACACAGCAAAUGAGCAAAUCGCAGCAGGCACUGAAAGCAGGCAGCAUUGUCAAAAAAGAUUUAGAUAUGAACAAAAAAGCUGACAGUGUUAAUAUGGAACCAAAAAGAGGAGCGCAACCUGGCAUUCACUCAAAUUUUGCACCUGCACCUUAACAAAUGGAGCUCUCCUGUGUGCCUCUCUGGCUUUCUCUGACUCCAUCUCUCAUUUCUAUUCAGCAAAAACUCUCGUUCUGUCCUACACCCAGGCUCUGGGCGACAUUUUUGGGGAGUUUCUUCUGCUGGGUGUACUGUGCGUGCAUUAAUUUGGGCCCAUCUCUGAGGAAGCGCAACAAUGAAGUGGACCUGUUUGGGAACGCGGUGCCAAGAUUGGGGGAUGACACAGUGAGGAGUUAGAGACACCUGGUCCGCCUGAAGGGCAAGCGGAAAACUUCUUCCCCCUUUCCCUCGCUCUGAGAAAACAGCUGCUGAUCAGCAUCUCGCAGCCAUCUUACCAUACUGGCUCAACCCAGGCCAUCAAUCAGCCAACACCUCCUGGGUGAGAGAGAGAGAGAGAGAGAGAGAGAGAGAGCAAUGAGCAAUACCUCAUUUGUUUUGGCAUAGGUGCUCAGUAUACUUUCACAACAGCUUUGAUUGGUUUCAGUUUAUGACUGAUAUUGAAGACCCCUUGAAAUCAUUUGAUGUCCAAUUCUCCCGUGUUGAUGUGUUGGGCAGGACCAGACCAAAAAUAAUAAAAAAAAUAAAAAAAAUGAUUAAUGCUGUCAAACAAUUAACCGUGAU